CUUAUACAACUUUCAACAACGGAUCUCUUGGCUCUCGCAUCGAUGAAGAACGCAGCGAAAUGCGAUAACUAAUGUGAAUUGCAGAAUUCAGUGAAUCAUCGAGUCUUUGAACGCACCUUGCGCCCUUUGGUAUUCCAAAGGGCAUGCCUGUUAGAGUGUCAUUAA
This 165-nucleotide ribosomal RNA is filed under the name Armillaria mellea. Its description in RNAcentral is "5.8S ribosomal RNA". It matches the Rfam family "5.8S ribosomal RNA". Rfam says of the family: 5.8S ribosomal RNA (5.8S rRNA) is a component of the large subunit of the eukaryotic ribosome. It is transcribed by RNA polymerase I as part of the 45S precursor that also contains 18S and 28S rRNA. The record is from RNAcentral. Lineage: Eukaryota; Fungi; Basidiomycota; Agaricomycetes; Agaricales; Physalacriaceae.